This is a long non-coding RNA of Myripristis murdjan (pinecone soldierfish), 308 nucleotides long. RefSeq lists it as uncharacterized. Lineage: Eukaryota; Metazoa; Chordata; Actinopteri; Holocentriformes; Holocentridae. The transcript is spliced from 3 exons. The record is from RefSeq and is a predicted model, not a curated record.
UUCUAGCCUCGAGCAAACUCCACAGUCGUGCCCCAUGGCUCUGAGGCAGGCGGGUUUGCAGCAGGAGCACGUCCUCACCCUGUGGCAGCUGUCCUGUCAGCCAAACACAGAGUAGCUGCUGUGGUGUCUGGAGGACAGAAAACCACAGGCAAAAUGGAAGCUUACUUAAGACCCACACUGGGAGUUGGAGCAAGUACUGCCAUAUCUAUGGUGCCGAGCAGACACAGCUCCUCACUGUCCUGUCGCUGUGUUAGACAGGCUAACAACACAUUUCCUCAUGGGAGGAAACAUGUUCCCCCAACAAAUUU